Molecule: ribosomal RNA, 301 nt
Filed under: uncultured bacterium
Lineage: Bacteria
Description: partial 16S ribosomal RNA
Rfam family: Bacterial small subunit ribosomal RNA
Source: RNAcentral
CAGUCGCCGCGGUAAUACGUAGGGUGCAAGCGUUGUCCGGAAUUAUUGGGCGUAAAGAGCUCGUAGGCGGUUUGUCGCGUCUGCUGUGAAAACCCGAGGCUCAACCUCGGGCCUGCAGUGGGUACGGGCAGACUAGAGUGCGGUAGGGGAGAAUGGAAUUCCUGGUGUAGCGGUGGAAUGCGCAGAUAUCAGGAGGAACACCGAUGGCGAAGGCAGUUCUCUGGGCCGUAACUGACGCUGAGGAGCGAAAGCGCGGGGAGCGAACAGGAUUAGAUACCCCUGUAGUCCCUGUCUCUUAUAC